RNAcentral lists this ribosomal RNA (449 nucleotides) under uncultured bacterium. RNAcentral's name for it is "bacterial SSU rRNA". It matches the Rfam family "Bacterial small subunit ribosomal RNA", at positions 330 to 794 of the family's 1533-position model. The record is from RNAcentral.
GCCAGACUCCUACGGGAGGCAGCAGUGGGGAAUAUUGCACAAUGGGGGAAACCCUGAUGCAGCAACGCCGCGUGAGUGAAGAAGUAUUUCGGUAUGUAAAGCUCUAUCAGCAGGGAAGAAGAAGGACGGUACCUGACUAAGAAGCCCCGGCUAACUACGUGCCAGCAGCCGCGGUAAUACGUAGGGGGCGAGCGUUAUCCGGAUUUACUGGGUGUAAAGGGAGCGUAGACGGUUAAUCAAGUCUGAAGUGAAAGCCCGCGGCUCAACUGCGGAACGGCUUUGGAAACUGAGUAACUGGAGUGCUGGAGGGGCAGGCGGAAUUCCUGGUGUAGCGGUGAAAUGCGUAGAUAUCAGGAGGAACACCGGUGGCGAAGGCGGCCUGCUGGACAGUAACUGACGUUGAGGCUCGAAAGCGUGGGGAGCAAACAGGAUUAGAUACCCUAGUAUAU